Molecule: long non-coding RNA, 2786 nt
Organism: Myotis myotis
Lineage: Eukaryota; Metazoa; Chordata; Mammalia; Chiroptera; Vespertilionidae
Exons: 4
Source: RefSeq, a predicted model, not a curated record
GUCAACUCUAGAGCACUAGACCGCCUCUGUAGCUGUUGCCCUUUUGAUGGAAGAGUGCUGUCCUUUCCGCCAGGUUGUUGUCCAUUGAACAACUGGGCUGGCCGCGACUUGGUCUCUUCCUCAGCAAACUCGGCUCCAGCCCACUGUCCAUUCAACACCUGUGUGUGAAGUGGCCGGCUGGAUACAAGUACACAGCUCAGAGGUGCGGCCUGGUGGAAGAAGAGGUGUCAGCAAAUGAAUUUCACAAAGAGGCUCACUGAGGUUCACAGCCAAUUCUAGACUCUAUUUCCAAAACCAGAGAGAGGGGGCAUUUCUACGAGAACCUGGUUAAAGGGAGAAGUCAGGUCAAAAUAUUCUCAUAUGAAAUGAUCCGCAACAAGAUACCAUGUGACGGAAGAAAAGGGAAGCAGUAGUUGCUAUGGCGAGGGGAUGGCGCUGAAGAGACCUAUACUUUUCAGUAUAUAUGAUUAAUUCUUUUUGCACUUCGUAGUGUGUGCAUGUUUUACCUUUUCACUAAAACACAAAUGAGUUUCCUUUAAGACUGUGUAUGCCCUUAAUAGACCUAUUGCCCUGGGGUCCUAGAGAACAGUGCAUGCCAACUCCAGGAUCAUACAAGGUUAGAUUCCUUAACUUAAUUUCAAUGUAUUUGCAUCACAAUCUCUCUCUCUCUCUCUCUCUCUCUCUCUCUCUCUCUCUCUCUCUCUCUUUUAAGAACUUGGAUUAGGGAGACAGGCAAAUAUAAAAUCUGCAGAGUGGGCCAUCAGGUUGCAGACCAGGCAGGGAAGAGCCGAUGUUAUAGUUCAAGACCACCUACUGUCACACCUAUUGUCAGAAUUCUUUCUUGCUGGGGAAGGUCAAUCAUUUGGGGGGAGAGGUCAAUUUUUUGUUGUAUUUAGACCUUCAACUGAUUGAAUGAGGCCAAACCUCACUUGGGAGGGUAAUCUGCUUUAUUCAAAACCCACUGAUCUAAAUGUUCUCAUACUCCAAAACACCCUAACAGAACCAUUCAGAAUAAAUUUGUUCCAGUAUCUGGGCAACGUGGCCCAGACAAAAUGACACAUAACAUUAACCAUCACAGAGACCUAGCCACAAAGGGAUGAAGAUGAUAUGAAGGAUGAUGUGAAGAUGCAGGCAGAGAGCAAAGUGAUAUUGCCUACAAGCCAAGAAAUGCUAUGGAUUGCUGGCAACAUCCAAAGGCCAGAGAGAGGCAUGGAAUGGUGUCUCGUAUAGGGCAUCGAGGAGGAAUCAAUCCUGUCAACACCUUGAUUUUGAAUUUCUGGCCUCCCGAACUGUGAGACAGUAAAUUUCUGGCAUUUUAAGGCACUUAGUCUAUGGUAAUUUGUUCCAGUAGCCCUAGGAAGCUAAACUCAGUAGUGACAUGGCCUUAUUUUCCAGUGGAAAUCAGAUGUGAUGUCCCACUAGGAAGGGGAUGCAUGUUCAUGACGACAGGCACAUUGCAGAACUCUGUGUGGGCACUGGGGAGGGCCAGGGAAGGGAAAGGAAGGCUUAGAGGUGGGGUUUCCAGGGUACACCAGGACCAAAAGUCAACGGCAAGCUACACACUGAAACAAGUGCAACAUAUAUGAUAGGAAAGUAGGGGUUCCUUUUCUUACAUAUGAAAAACUGCUGCAAAAAAUGUAAUGAGAAAAAUAUAAGUGCCUUUUAGACACAGGAAAGUUGAGAAACAAUAUCCAAAGAAAGAAUGACAAAUGACUACUAUGUCACCACCCGGAUGACCUGGCUCAUUGCACAUCCUGACGUACAUUAAAUCUGUGCUCAAGAUUUAUUCCUUUAAGUGUGUCCCAAAGAGGCAUGUUCAGGAUCCAGCUUGUGAGCAGACCUACAUCAGGACAGAUGAAGUAAUGGGGGUGCUCACAGCUAGAUCCAUCAGCAGGAGUGCUACUGCUGCUGCUCAGGCAUAGUUACAACAAAGGGUGUUGUGAAAUAUGAAAGCAUAAUCAAUUGAUUAAUCAAUAAAGAGGUAUUUAUUGAAGACCUCUGUUGUCUCCCACUCUGCACUGUGCACUCUGAGGAGCAGGAGAACAACAUGUCCCGCUCCAACUACCGCCACCCCGCCCCUGCCAUGGAUGAGGAAAGACUGGGGUUUAAGAAAGAACAGGACCACAACCCAGGGAGGAUGAAUUGAUCGCUCCAGAUCAUAUCAGUUCUGGCUAUACAUUAGAAUCCCUAGAGAGCUUUUAAAAAAUACAGAUGCUACUAGAAUGUUUCAUCGCAGCACUACUUACAGAAGCUCCACACUGGAAAUUACCCAAAUGCACAUCAGCAGUGGUGUGGCUAAUAGCUAUGGAUGACUCAUAAUGGAGUGGCAGCAUUUAGCAAUGAGCAUGAGAGAUCGACAGCUACAUGCAACAAUGUUGAUAAAUCUCUUUAGUAUAAUGCUGAGGGGAAGAAACCAGAUAAAAAGUGUCAUGCUUAAAUGUACCAUCGUAACGUAAGACGUUAACAACAGAGGCAACUUGGUGCAGGGUGUGCAGGAUCUUUGUACUAGUCACACUUUUUUCUAUAAAUCUAGCCUGUUCUAAAAUUUAAAAGCUUAUUUAAAUAUAGAAAAGUCAUACUGUAUGAUUCCAUUUGUGUCAAAUGCAAAAACAGACAAAAUUUGCCCUCUGCCAUUAGAAGUCGGGGAGGUGUUCGCACUGGGAUGAAUGGUGUCUGGAAGGGCACAUAAAGGGGCCCUGGGGAGCUGGUAAUGUUCUGUGCCUUUAUCUGUAUGCUGCUUACAAAAGCACGUUCCAGUGUGAACAUUUAUCGAGGUGAACACUUAU